RNAcentral lists this ribosomal RNA (499 nucleotides) under uncultured bacterium. RNAcentral describes it as "partial 16S ribosomal RNA". It matches the Rfam family "Bacterial small subunit ribosomal RNA", at positions 30 to 523 of the family's 1533-position model. The record is from RNAcentral.
AUUGAACGCUGGCGGUAUGCUUAACACAUGCAAGUCGAACGGUGAGAAAGAGCUUGCUCUUUCGAUUAGUGGCGGACGGGUGCGUAACGCGUAGGAAUCUACCUAUUAGUGGGGGACCACUUAGGGAAACUUAAGCUAAUACCGCAUACGCCCUACGGGGGAAAGAAGGGGAUCGCAAGACCUUUUGCUAAUAGAUGAGCCUGCGUAGGAUUAGCUAGUUGGUGGGGUAAAAGCUCACCAAGGCGACGAUCCUUAACUGGUUUGAGAGAAUGAUCAGUCACACUGGAACUGAGACACGGUCCAGACUCCUACGGGAGGCAGCAGUGGGGAAUAUUGGACAAUGGGCGAAAGCCUGAUCCAGCAAUACCGCGUGUGUGAAGAAGGCCUUAGGGUUGUAAAGCACUUUCAAUUGGAAGGAAAACCUCGAAACUAAUACCUUCGAGUUUGACAUUACCUUUAGAAGAAGCACCGGCUAACUCCGUGCCAGCCGCCGCCGUAA